CGGCGUCUUUCUCCCCCGGGUUCCAUGCAGUGGGGGCGGGUCGGAGCGGGUCGCCGGUGACGCUAUGACGCACGCCGGAGGAGGGGCGGGGGAAAAAAGGGACGGAUGGAACUUCCCACUGGAUAAGACCCCUAAAAAAUUUCAAAUGGAGUUGCGGCCCACUUUUGAAAUCCUGGACAUAGACUGCAGACACCAGGUUGAAAACCACUGUUACAUGGGAACAACUUUUUGCGAACCUCUUAGACAAAGUCUGUAGACCCUCAGGCCUCCACAGACCACAGCUUGAAAAACACUGGUGUACAGAACUUAUGCUUCCAAUUUCCAGUGUGCUAUGGCAGGACUUUUAUUGUGAUAGUGGGCCUCCUUAUUCUAAUUACUUUUUUUGAGUAGGGAGAAUAAUUUUCAAGUACAUGGACUUUUUUGUUCAUGCCCUUGGCUGGUCUCACCCGUAGAUGUUAAGUCCCCGAGGGGAGAAUCCACCCUUGUAUCAAUACGUUAGUAGACUUGCUCAUACUCAGUGAGCUCUCGUCCUUUGCUCCACCAGUCAACAUAAUUUCCAUGAGCAUGGCUGCCAUUUAGGGUGAUCAGGCUGGGUGGAAUCACACAGUUGGCAUUCUGUGGUUACUAAAGAAGAGGUGGUACUCUGUCAGCACAGUAUGCAGUGGAUACCACUGCUUCAUGGUCCAAAAGGCCCGUGAGGGUUCUGUGAGUAAGCAACUGUGGAGGCAAUUUUCUGCUGGCUCAGGUCCAAAAUGAAUGAAACUUCAUUCUGGUUACUUAUAAAGGGAAACUGAGUAUCUAUGUUUACGCCAGUAUUGUUUUGCAUGUGGAACUCCUAUUAAAGUCAGUGGGAGGUUGGGGUGUGAAUUAUGCAAAAUCUAAUUGAAUCUCAGGCCAAAUGCCAUCCAGUUCUUUCUACAAGUCUGAAAUAAAAACUCUGAUCAAGUG
Long non-coding RNA from Chrysemys picta bellii (western painted turtle), 948 nucleotides. RefSeq lists it as uncharacterized. The record is from RefSeq and is a predicted model, not a curated record. Lineage: Eukaryota; Metazoa; Chordata; Testudines; Emydidae.